This 23-nucleotide ribosomal RNA is filed under the name Pseudo-nitzschia fraudulenta. RNAcentral describes it as "partial 28S ribosomal RNA". Lineage: Eukaryota; Bacillariophyta; Bacillariophyceae; Bacillariales; Bacillariaceae. The record is from RNAcentral.
CCGGAUCUCAGAUCAAGCAAGAG